RNAcentral lists this ribosomal RNA (511 nucleotides) under uncultured Pseudomonadota bacterium. Its description in RNAcentral is "bacterial SSU rRNA". It matches the Rfam family "Bacterial small subunit ribosomal RNA", at positions 355 to 859 of the family's 1533-position model. The record is from RNAcentral. Lineage: Bacteria; Pseudomonadati; Pseudomonadota.
UGGGGAAUUUUGGACAAUGGGCGCAAGCCUGAUCCAGCCAUGCCGCGUGAGUGAAGAGGGCCUUCGGGUUGUAAAGCUCUUUCGGCGGGGACGAAACGGUCCGUGCUAAUACCACGGACUACUGACGGUACCCGCAGAAGAAGCACCGGCUAACUACGUGCCAGCAGCCGCGGUAAUACGUAGGGUGCAGGCGUUAAUCGGAAUUACUGGGCGUAAAGCGUGCGCAGGCGGUUUGUUAAGACAGGUGUGAAAUCCCCGGGCUUAACCUGGGAACUGCGCUUGUAACUGGCAGACUGGAGUGUGGCAGAGGGGGGUGGAAUUCCAAGUGUAGCAGUGAAAUGCGUAGAUAUUUGGAGGAACACCGAUGGCGAAGGCAGCCCCCUGGGCUAACACUGACGCUCAUGCACGAAAGCGUGGGGAGCAAACAGGAUUAGAUACCCUGGUAGUCCACGCCCUAAACGAUGUCAACUGGUUGUCGGGGAAGCAAUUCCUUGGUAACGAAGCUAACGCG